AGAGUUUGAUCCUGGCUCAGAGCGAACGCUGGCGGCGUGCUUAACACAUGCAAGUCGAACGAGUGUAGCAAUACAUUCGUGGCGAACGGGUGCGUAACACGUGGAUAACCUUCCUUGAGGUGGGGAAUAACCCAGUGAAAAUUGGGAUAAUACCGCAUAACAAAGCGAUGGCACAUGCUGUUGCUUUCAAAGGAGCAAUUCGCCACAAGAGGGAUCCGCGGCCGAUUAGCUAGUUGGCGGGGUAACGGCCCACCAAGGCAAUGAUCGGUAGCCGGUCUGAGAGGAUGAUCGGCCACACUGGAACUGAGACACGGUCCAGACUCCUACGGGAGGCAGCAGUGGGGAAUCUUGCACAAUGGGCGAAAGCCUGAUGCAGCAACGCCGCGUGGGGGAUGAAGCUUCUCGGAGUGUAAACCCCUUUCGACCCGGACGAAUGCCCGCAAGGGUUUGACGGUACGGGUAUAAGAAGCCCCGGCUAACUACGUGCCAGCAGCCGCGGUAAGACGUAGGGGGCCAGCGUUGCUCGGAAUUACUGGGCGUAAAGGGUCCGUAGGCGGUGCGGUAAGUCGGGAGUGAAAUCUCUGGGCUUAACUCAGAGGCUGCUUCCGAAACUACCGUGCUCGAGUGCGAGAGAGGCAAGUGGAAUUGCGGGUGUAGCGGUGAAAUGCGUAGAUAUCCGCAGGAACAUCCGAGGCGAAAGCGGCUUGCUGGAUCGCAACUGACGCUGAGGGACGAAAGCUAGGGGAGCAAACAGGAUUAGAUACCCUAGUAGUCC
This 775-nucleotide ribosomal RNA is filed under the name uncultured bacterium. RNAcentral describes it as "bacterial SSU rRNA". It matches the Rfam family "Bacterial small subunit ribosomal RNA", at positions 8 to 796 of the family's 1533-position model. The record is from RNAcentral.